Molecule: ribosomal RNA, 354 nt
Filed under: uncultured Pseudomonas sp.
Lineage: Bacteria; Pseudomonadati; Pseudomonadota; Gammaproteobacteria; Pseudomonadales; Pseudomonadaceae
Description: bacterial SSU rRNA
Rfam family: Bacterial small subunit ribosomal RNA
Source: RNAcentral
UCUGACACAGGUGCUGCAUGGUUGUCGUCAGCUCGUGUCGUGAGAUGUUGGGUUAAGUCCCGUAACGAGCGCAACCCUUGUCCUUAGUUACCAGCACGUUAUGGUGGGCACUCUAAGGAGACUGCCGGUGCAAACCGGAGGAAGGUGGGGAUGACGUCAAGUCAUCAUGGCCCUUACGGCCUGGGCUACACACGUGCUACAAUGGUCGGUACAAAGGGUUGCCAAGCCGCGAGGUGGAGCUAAUCCCAUAAAACCGAUCGUAGUCCGGAUCGCAGUCUGCAACUCGACUGCGUGAAGUCGGAAUCGCUAGUAAUCGUGAAUCAGAAUGUCACGGUGAAUACGGUUCCCGGCCUU